This 497-nucleotide ribosomal RNA is filed under the name uncultured bacterium. Its description in RNAcentral is "partial 16S ribosomal RNA". It matches the Rfam family "Bacterial small subunit ribosomal RNA", at positions 28 to 507 of the family's 1533-position model. The record is from RNAcentral.
GAUGAACGCUGGCGGCGUGCCUAAUACAUGCAAGUCGAGCGAACAGACGAGGAGCUUGCUCCUCUGACGUUAGCGGCGGACGGGUGAGUAACACGUGGAUAACCUACCUAUAAGACUGGGAUAACUUCGGGAAACCGGAGCUAAUACCGGAUAAUAUAUUGAACCGCAUGGUUCAAUAGUGAAAGACGGUUUUGCUGUCACUUAUAGAUGGAUCCGCGCCGCAUUAGCUAGUUGGUAAGGUAACGGCCUACCAAGGCAACGAUGCGUAGCCGACCUGAGAGGGUGAUCGGCCACACUGGAACUGAGACACGGUCCAGACUCCUACGGGAGGCAGCAGUAGGGAAUCUUCCGCAAUGGGCGAAAGCCUGACGGAGCAACGCCGCGUGAGUGAUGAAGGUCUUCGGAUCGUAAAGCUCUGUUAUUAGGGAAGAACAAAUGUGUAAGUAACUAUGCACGUCUUGACGGUACCUAAUCAGAAAGCCACGGCUAACUACGUG